RNAcentral lists this transfer RNA (78 nucleotides) under Neisseriaceae bacterium. Its description in RNAcentral is "tRNA-Asn". It matches the Rfam family "tRNA". From Rfam's summary of the family: Transfer RNA (tRNA) molecules are approximately 80 nucleotides in length. Their secondary structure includes four short double-helical elements and three loops (D, anti-codon, and T loops). The record is from RNAcentral. Lineage: Bacteria; Pseudomonadati; Pseudomonadota; Betaproteobacteria; Neisseriales; Neisseriaceae.
UGGGGUGUAGCACAAUGGGUAGUUUGCAAUCGCCUGUUAAGCGAUAGGUUGUCGGUUCGAGCCCGACCACCCCAGCCA